Molecule: long non-coding RNA, 935 nt
Filed under: Salvia miltiorrhiza (redroot sage)
Lineage: Eukaryota; Viridiplantae; Streptophyta; Magnoliopsida; Lamiales; Lamiaceae
Description: long non-coding RNA (SMIL_LNC005235)
Source: RNAcentral
UUGUAGAAAAAUAACAGCAUAGAAUUACCAUUAUGAGCUUACUCUCGAUGUGCUUCUGAAUGAGAUGGCCUUCGGACUAGCAUUCUGCUCCAUUGCCAAUCAAGUCUGCAAUAUGUAUUAUUUUAUCUCUCAUGUGUUUAAAAACAGAAUUCGUCGAAAAAAAAAAAAGAAGAGAGAGAGUGGAGAAUCUCACUCUUCCAACAUAGCAGAGAAACCAUCAGAAUCAAAUUUAAGUGCCUGAUCCCAUUUACCAUUUCCUUGCCGUAUCAAGUUAUGAGUCCAAGGUAAGAUGUAUUAGCAUGUCGAUUAACGUCCUAACAGAAAUCUAGAAGCAAGCAAAAGUAACAAAAUACUCAUUCCUAGUUAUUUCAAAUUGGAUUGUUCCCGUACCAUACUUCAGCCCGUCCAUCGCCGUGUCAAAAUUAUCAUGCUUCUGCAAUAUUGAGAUUCAAUAAUAAUAAAAAAAAAAGCCAUUAGGAAGAGUAUGCAGAAAAUAUGAAAUAUCCCUUCAACUAAAAAGAGUCUAGAAGUGCCGUACCGUGCCUAGAAGCAAUCCCACCGGUCCUGAAGCUUUUUGGAGCAUGUGUGACAAAAGAUACUAUAUUCAAUGCACAUUAAUAUCACCAGAAAACUUCCAAAAGACAUUGAAUGUAUGUCAAACUAAUUCAUGGAUGGGUGAGAGUGAUCCAACAUUUCGUGAUUCUGGACUUAGAAUGCACAUCGACUAUAGGAAGAAUGUGGAAAUAAAUGUUAGGCGGUAUAUAAGAUAUUACCACCAUACAAUUUGGGAAGACUAUGUGCUUGGGACCACAAAACUCCUUGUAUCUCAGUUAACAAUAAAUUUUAGUACAGAAACUGUAUACUUUAAUGACAGAAACACAUAUUCUUAAGCACCAGCAAAGUAAACAAGAGAAAUGGAUCAUAUAUUCUCAAAC